This 263-nucleotide ribosomal RNA is filed under the name Zoogloea ramigera. Its description in RNAcentral is "partial 16S ribosomal RNA". It matches the Rfam family "Bacterial small subunit ribosomal RNA", at positions 19 to 286 of the family's 1533-position model. Lineage: Bacteria; Pseudomonadati; Pseudomonadota; Betaproteobacteria; Rhodocyclales; Zoogloeaceae. The record is from RNAcentral.
CUGGCUCAGAUUGAACGCUGGCGGCAUGCCUUACACAUGCAAGUCGAACGGCAGCGCGGGGCAACCUGGCGGCGAGUGGCGAACGGGUGAGUAAUAUAUCGGAACGUACCCUGGAGUGGGGGAUAACGUAGCGAAAGUUACGCUAAUACCGCAUACGAUCUAAGGAUGAAAGUGGGGGAUCGCAAGACCUCAUGCUCCUGGAGCGGCCGAUAUCUGAUUAGCUAGUUGGUAGGGUAAAAGCCUACCAAGGCAUCGAUCAGUAG